This 620-nucleotide ribosomal RNA is filed under the name fungal endophyte. RNAcentral describes it as "eukaryotic LSU rRNA". The stretch from base 228 to 381 matches the Rfam family "5.8S ribosomal RNA". Lineage: Eukaryota; Fungi. The record is from RNAcentral.
UUACCGGCUCAGGCCAGCGCCCCAAAAGCGCGCUCCGGCCCGUCCCACCCCCUCGCGAACCUACCUGAAAACGUUGCUUCGGCGGGCGGCCCCAGGGCGGGGCCACCCGCGGCCCGGGCGCAUUCCCGGGUGCCCGCCGCGAGCCUACCACAAAACAUCUCCUACCCAAGAGUCCCAUCUGAGCCUUCCGACCCGGCGUGCCGCCGGCGAGGAUUUCUUCCAAUCAAAACUUUCAACAACGGAUCUCUUGGUUCUGGCAUCGAUGAAGAACGCAGCGAAAUGCGAUAAGUAAUGUGAAUUGCAGAAUUCAGCGAAUCAUCGAAUCUUUGAACGCACAUUGCGCCCGCCAGCAUUCUGGCGGGCAUGCCUGUCCGAGCGUCAUUGCACCCCUCGGGCGCGCGGGCCGCUACAGGCCCGCCGCGCCCGGCGUUGGGGCCAGCGGCGGAGCGCAUCCCGCGCCGCCGCGGCCCCCAAAUGCAGUGGCGGGACCCCGCCUGGGAACCCGAGCGCAGUAGCACCAUGCUCGCUCCGGGGCGCCCGCGGGGCCCACCGCCGGCCGCGCACGGCCGCAACCUCCACACACAAAGACGUUGACCUCGGAUCAGGUAGGAAGACCCGCU